GGCUUUGUAGUGGAAAAAAGACGCCAGGCUGCAAUCCUGGAAAUGUAGUAGUUAUUACCUUAGCCU
This 66-nucleotide transfer RNA is filed under the name Typhlatya iliffei. RNAcentral's name for it is "tRNA-Cys". The record is from RNAcentral. Lineage: Eukaryota; Metazoa; Arthropoda; Malacostraca; Decapoda; Atyidae.